Molecule: unclassified non-coding RNA, 232 nt
Filed under: Hevea brasiliensis (rubber tree)
Lineage: Eukaryota; Viridiplantae; Streptophyta; Magnoliopsida; Malpighiales; Euphorbiaceae
Source: RNAcentral
UAGGGAUGAGCUACACAGGAUGUUAAAUGAGGUAUCAACAAGCCCCAGAAUUUCUUAAGCAAAAAUGAGUAAACUGUUUAUGGAACUAUGAAAUGUUGCAAUUAAGCAAGGACAUCACAUUGGUAUUUGAUUUGUUACGUCUGCAUGGUUUUCCCUUGAUCCAAAUACUACUUCUUGUGCUGGCAGGAUGAGCUGAGGGAUGCUGUACUGCUUGUAUUUGCAAACAAGCAAG